CAGAAGUGAAAAUAGAACUCUUUCCAACACUGGAAGCCCCCCAAGAGUCCCUGUGUUGCGGCGGGGACACAGCUGGUCCUGAGAAGGCAUCAUACUCAGACAAGCCUGCAAGAUUGCAUUCAUUCCUGUUGUUUCCGUUAGUGAUGCUCGUCCAUGGAAUGAUAAUCUAAUUUUCCUCCGUGGGUUGAUGUUCUGUCAUCAGAGGAGUGUCAGGAAGACCUAUUACAGAGCAGACAUCUAAGAUGAGUUUUUAGAUUUAAACUACUUUUUGGGACAGCCCCGGGUGGCUCAGCAGUUUAGCGCUGCCUUCAGCCCAGGGCCUGAUUCUGGAGACCCGGGAUCGAGUCCCACGGCAGGCUCCCUGCAUGGAGCCUGCUUCUCCCUCUGCCUGUGUCUCUGCCUCUCUCUGUGUGUG
Molecule: long non-coding RNA, 415 nt
Filed under: Canis lupus dingo (dingo)
Lineage: Eukaryota; Metazoa; Chordata; Mammalia; Carnivora; Canidae
Description: lncRNA (ENSCAFG00020017163.1)
Source: RNAcentral